Molecule: ribosomal RNA, 400 nt
Filed under: Vibrio cholerae
Lineage: Bacteria; Pseudomonadati; Pseudomonadota; Gammaproteobacteria; Vibrionales; Vibrionaceae
Description: bacterial SSU rRNA
Rfam family: Bacterial small subunit ribosomal RNA
Source: RNAcentral
UAAACCGGAGGAAGGUGGGGACGACGUCAAGUCAUCAUGGCCCUUACGAGUAGGGCUACACACGUGCUACAAUGGCGCAUACAGAGGGCGGCCAACUUGCGAAAGUGAGCGAAUCCCAAAAAGUGCGUCGUAGUCCGGAUUGGAGUCUGCAACUCGACUCCAUGAAGUCGGAAUCGCUAGUAAUCGUGGAUCAGAAUGCCACGGUGAAUACGUUCCCGGGCCUUGUACACACCGCCCGUCACACCAUGGGAGUGGGCUGCACCAGAAGUGGUUAGUUUAACCCCUUUUCUUUCGAGAUUAGGGGAGGACGAUCACCACGGUGUGGUUCAUGACUGGGGUGAAGUCGUAACAAGGUAGCGCUAGGGGAACCUGGCGCUGGAUCACCUCCUUAUACGAUGAU